GAUGAACGCUGGCGGCGUGCCUAAUACAUGCAAGUCGAGCGAACGGACGAGAAGCUUGCUUCUCUGAUGUUAGCGGCGGACGGGUGAGUAACACGUGGAUAACCUACCUAUAAGACUGGGAUAACUUCGGGAAACCGUAGCUAAUACCGGAUAAUAUUUUGAACCGCAUGGUUCAAAAGUGAAAGACGGUCUUGCUGUCACUUAUAGAUGGAUCCGCGCUGCAUUAGCUAGUUGGUAAGGUAACGGCUUACCAAGGCAACGAUGCAUAGCCGACCUGAGAGGGUGAUCGGCCACACUGGGACUGAGACACGGUCCAGACUCCUACGGGAGGCAGCAGUAGGGAAUCUUCCGCAAUGGGCGAAAGCCUGACGGAGCAACGCCGCGUGAGUGAUGAAGGUCUUCGGAUCGUAAAACUCUGUUAUUAGGGAAGAACAAAUGUGUAAGUAACUGUGCACAUCUUGACGGUACCUAAUCAGAAAGCCACGGCUAACUACGUG
RNAcentral lists this ribosomal RNA (497 nucleotides) under uncultured bacterium. RNAcentral's name for it is "partial 16S ribosomal RNA". It matches the Rfam family "Bacterial small subunit ribosomal RNA", at positions 28 to 507 of the family's 1533-position model. The record is from RNAcentral.